AACGAACGCUGGCGGCAGGCCUAACACAUGCAAGUCGAGCGAGGACUUCGGUCCUAGCGGCGCACGGGUGAGUAACGCGUGGGAACGUGCCCUUGGCUUCGGAAUAGCCCUGGGAAACUGGGAGUAAUACCGGAUGAGCCCUUAGGGGGAAAGAUUUAUCGGAGAAGAAUCGGCCCGCGUUGGAUUAGGUAGUUGGUGGGGUAAUGGCCUACCAAGCCGACGAUCCAUAGCUGGUUUGAGAGGAUGAUCAGCCACACUGGGACUGAGACACGGCCCAGACUCCUACGGGAGGCAGCAGUGGGGAAUCUUAGACAAUGGGGGAAACCCUGAUCUAGCCAUGCCGCGUGAGCGAUGAAGGCCUUAGGGUUGUAAAGCUCUUUCAGCUGGGAAGAUAAUGACGUUACCAGCAGAAGAAGCCCCGGCUAACUCCGUG
RNAcentral lists this ribosomal RNA (433 nucleotides) under uncultured bacterium. RNAcentral describes it as "partial 16S ribosomal RNA". It matches the Rfam family "Bacterial small subunit ribosomal RNA", at positions 29 to 507 of the family's 1533-position model. The record is from RNAcentral.